Molecule: ribosomal RNA, 433 nt
Filed under: uncultured bacterium
Lineage: Bacteria
Description: partial 16S ribosomal RNA
Rfam family: Bacterial small subunit ribosomal RNA
Source: RNAcentral
AACGAACGCUGGCGGCAUGCCUAACACAUGCAAGUCGAACGAGACCUUCGGGUCUAGUGGCGCACGGGUGCGUAACGCGUGGGAACCUGCCCUUAGGUUCGGAAUAACUCCCCGAAAGGGGUGCUAAUACCUGAUAAUGUCUUCGGACCAAAGAUUUAUCGCCUUUGGAUGGGCCCGCGUUGGAUUAGCUAGUUGGUAGGGUAAAAGCCUACCAAGGCGACGAUCCAUAGCUGGUCUGUGAGGAUGAUCAGCCACACUGGGACUGAGACACGGCCCAGACUCCUACGGGAGGCAGCAGUGGGGAAUAUUGGACAAUGGGCGAAAGCCUGAUCCAGCAAUGCCGCGUGAGUGAUGAAGGCCUUAGGGUUGUAAAGCUCUUUUACCCGGGAUGAUAAUGACAGUACCGGGAGAAUAAGCUCCGGCUAACUCCGUG